UGAAAGUGCUGAUGAACGGAAGUAUUCAAUUCUUCCACAAAUGAGUCUAUCUGUCUUGCUGCUGUCUUCCUCCGUUUGCCUUCCAGAUUACUCAAAGCCAUUUGAAUCCCCAGUUUAGAGAAUCCCUGGUGGAUGGUCCACUGUUUCCAGAAGCACAGGGAACAUCUGUGAAGAGAGUCACGAGCAUCUUUGGCUAUGGUGCUGUGCCAGUCUGAUCCUGCAAGGCUUGCUUUCAGAACGCAGGCCAGUGCACGAGCUUGGACCAGCAGGCAGCGGAGGAGCCCAGGUCAUGUCAUUGCUGCUGGUCCUUGGCAUAUUUCAUGCAACAGCACACACAGGAGCAUGGCUAACCUCUCAGAAUUGGAGUUUAACACACCCCAGGACAGGAUAUGACAAUCAAGCUGCUACCACAGUCCCUGGUGUUUUUCCAGAGACACCUGAGUCUGUUUCCUGUAAUGGCGACUGCUGGUGGGCACUCACUGGAUGCUUCUUCUCCAUUUUCUCAGGCAGGUUCAUAACAAGAAACACCUUAUCCCUACAGGAAAUCCCACAACCUUUAGCAAUGACUAUUCAUUGCCAUUUGAUAAGUAGUACCCCCCUGUGCGCCAGGGGCUAGAGAGUGCAAAUUUGAACAAAUUAAGACCACAGACUGCGUUUUAAUAAGGACAAGGAAGGCACAUCUGAAGAGUUCCCGUCUGGAGGAAGAAUGCACUUUCCUGGUUAGGAGAAGCAGCGGGACACAAGGGCCAGACCGCUCAGGGCUUUGAGGAGAUGCUCAAGUUAACCAGAAAUGCUUUGUGUUGCUGUUCCUGUUGAAACGUUUCUGAGAUUGCUUCUACAUGCUGCAGGAGGUUUUGAAAUGCUGCACUAGAACUCUUAAGAACAGAUGUAUUCAAGCAACUGUCCAGACCAACUGACAGAGGAGAGUCAGGCAUCCUGAAAGGGGCUGGGAAGUUUGUGAAGAUGGGUUAGACUUAGUCUGCACAGCCUGGGGAUCCUGGAUGAGAACCGAUUUAUGACAAUAUCAGCAAAAGAAAAAAAAAUAAAUCCACAAUGUUAUAGCUACA
RNAcentral lists this long non-coding RNA (1067 nucleotides) under Mus spicilegus (steppe mouse). RNAcentral describes it as "lncRNA (ENSMSIG00000024378.1)". Lineage: Eukaryota; Metazoa; Chordata; Mammalia; Rodentia; Muridae. The record is from RNAcentral.